This is a ribosomal RNA of Hirsutella minnesotensis 3608, 122 nucleotides long. The record is from Rfam. NCBI's taxonomy places the organism in Eukaryota, Fungi, Ascomycota, Sordariomycetes, Hypocreales, Ophiocordycipitaceae.
ACAUACGGCCAUACCUGCCAGAAUAUAUACUGGAUCCCGUCCGCUCUCCAUUCGUCAAGCUGGUAAGGGGCAGAUUAGUAGUUGGGUCGGUGAUGACCAGCGAACACCGGCUGCUGUAUGUU